GUGAGCUGUAGCUCACGAAAGCUCAUGCUCAAAUAAAUUGGUUAGUCUCUAAGGUGCCACAAGUACUGCUUUUCUUUUUGCGAAUACAGACUAACACGGCUGUUACUCUGAAACCAAGCCAAACAGUUACACAUGGCAGAGCUGAUUACACACUGUUAACCCUGGAUUUGGGCGCCAAUUGUAAACAGCCCGUUUGCUCGCUGCACAAUCCUUUCUCAGUAGCCUGCCAGGAAUGGAGCUCAGUUUUUAUGUGCACAGCUGGGUAACGGAGUCAUACGUAUGGUUUCCAACACGUUACCUCAAGUCUACACCGUCCCCAGGAGAAUGGAGCAGCAGAGGCCCAUCCAAGCUGCCCAAACCAGGGCUAUGAUUGCUCUUAGCCAGAAGGUCUGGCUGACCUCGGGGCAGGGGGAGCCACAUCAGCAGGGGAAUUUAUGAGUAAAUGAGUUUUCCUUCAGCUCGGCAUUCCGGCUGCUGGAGGAAGACACUGGCCCCAGGCCCAGACUGAAGGUGUCCGGAGGGAAUGGCUCUGGGUGCACCAUGCGAUGGGACAGGUAUCAGAGAAGAACUGGCCUGAACCUGGAACACCGCUAGGAGUGGAGAACAUCAGUGCCAGGGGCUGGCUAACCCAUCAGGAAAGAUUUAAUAAGACAGAAAAUAUAUCCCAAGAAAAAGUGACCUGAAAGCUGAAUCAAAGUGCUCAGACACUAGGGUGACGAGCUUAGAGUAAGAGCCUAGAGAGAGAACCCCAACGUCCCCUUGCACCCUACUCAAGUCAGGGAGCGAAGAUCCCUGAACAUUGAUUUCCUUCACCCAAAGAGAGUGAUCCCUGAGCAGUAACCUUGUCAUUCGAGGAGGCAGCUUGUUCCCAGGCAAUCACUGGUAAAAGAGAAGGGACAGCUGGAAAACAUCAAACAGGAAAGGCUCUUGUUGCCAGGAAUGUAUUUGCCGGCUGAUCUGAUAUCAGAAGGUUUCCAAACCAUCAGCUGUUUAGAGCCACCAUCCCACAGGUCAGAAUUAUCACCUCACUUGUCACAGUCUUCAGCCCCAUCAGAGCCCCCAUCCCUCAGAGAAGAAUCCUCGCUCAGGUCAGGGUCGCCAACUCCCCCGUCCGAGUCAUCCUCGCUCAGGUCAGGGUCGCCAUCUCCCCCGUCCGAGUCAUCCUCGCUCAGGUCAGGGUCGCCAUCUCCCCCGUCCAAGUCAUCCUCGCUCAGGUCAGGGUCGCCAUCUCCCCCGUCCGAGUCAUCCUCGCUCAGGUCAGCGUCGCCAACUUCCCCGUCCAAGUCAUCCUCGCUCAGGUCAGGGUCGCCAUCUCCCCCGUCCGAGUCAUC
Non-coding RNA from Caretta caretta (loggerhead turtle), 1331 nucleotides. NCBI's taxonomy places the organism in Eukaryota, Metazoa, Chordata, Testudines, Cheloniidae. The record is from RefSeq and is a predicted model, not a curated record.